GUGAACGCUGGCGGUAGGCCUAACACAUGCACGUCGAACGGCAGCACAGUAAGAGCUUGCUCUUACGGGUGGCGAGUGGCGGACGGGUGAGGAAUACAUCGGAAUCUACUUUUUCGUGGGGGAUAACGUAGGGAAACUUACGCUAAUACCGCAUACGACCUACGGGUGAAAGCAGGGGAUCUUCGGACCUUGCGCGAUUGAAUGAGCCGAUGUCGGAUUAGCUAGUUGGCGGGGUAAAGGCCCACCAAGGCGACGAUCCGUAGCUGGUCUGAGAGGAUGAUCAGCCACACUGGAACUGAGACACGGUCCAGACUCCUACGGGAGGCAGCAGUGGGGAAUAUUGGACAAUGGGCGCAAGCCUGAUCCAGCCAUACCGCGUGGGUGAAGAAGGCCUUCUGGUUGUAAAGCCCUUUUGUUGGGAAAGAAAAGCAGCAGGUUAAUACCCCGCUGUUCUGACGGUACCCAAAGAAUAAGCACCGGCUAACUUCGUG
Molecule: ribosomal RNA, 491 nt
Filed under: uncultured bacterium
Lineage: Bacteria
Description: partial 16S ribosomal RNA
Rfam family: Bacterial small subunit ribosomal RNA
Source: RNAcentral